This is a long non-coding RNA of Calidris pugnax (ruff), 617 nucleotides long. RefSeq lists it as uncharacterized. The record is from RefSeq and is a predicted model, not a curated record. Lineage: Eukaryota; Metazoa; Chordata; Aves; Charadriiformes; Scolopacidae. The transcript is spliced from 5 exons.
CUGAAACCCAAUCUGGGGACAGUGCAGACUAAAUAAAAUUUCAUUUUGAUUUGGCCUCCCGCUGAGAAUGGGACUGCUUUGUUUCAGCCGACAGAACCAGCAAGCCAGAAAGGUUUUGUUUCAAAAAUAGAGAAGCUGCUUCUGACCCAAUUGAUCAAAAAUGCUGUUCUUCAGGAAAGAGUGCAAAAUGUCUUCUUUUCAAAGCAAAUGGAUUUGAGGAACGGGUCAUUGUGGUGGAGGAAGUAUUUUUAUCUGGGCCUCAGGAAACAGUGGUCUGGCUAGCAACUGCACUGGGACGGAUGAUUACAUGAACAGUAUUAACUCGGGGCAAAGCAUGCCUUCACUUACCCCUGCCCCAAAACUCCUAGACUACAAGAACUAAUCAAUGUCUGUGUCCACCUGGAAACAUCCAGCGAGCAAGGACUGUGGAAGCAACUGCCCUGAAAUGACCCUUCAAUCUGCAGUGAGGUUACCACAGAACUUUAGAGGUGGAAAUACUUGAGAAUACAGAGACACAUCCAGCACAGAUCCUUUUAACCACUGUUGUUGCUGCUCUGGUUCUUCAGCCCAAAAUGCUAGCAUGUGAAGACCUUUGAGAAGUGAAGAGGAAAAAAAUA